This 83-nucleotide transfer RNA is filed under the name Carboxydothermus hydrogenoformans Z-2901. RNAcentral's name for it is "tRNA-Leu (TAG) (tRNA-Leu-TAG-1-1)". It matches the Rfam family "tRNA". From Rfam's summary of the family: Transfer RNA (tRNA) molecules are approximately 80 nucleotides in length. Their secondary structure includes four short double-helical elements and three loops (D, anti-codon, and T loops). Further hydrogen bonds mediate the characteristic L-shaped molecular structure. tRNAs have two regions of fundamental functional importance: the anti-codon, which is responsible for specific mRNA codon recognition, and the 3' end, to which the tRNAs corresponding amino acid is attached (by aminoacyl-tRNA synthetases). tRNAs cope with the degeneracy of the genetic code in two manners: having more than one tRNA (with a specific anti-codon) for a particular amino acid; and 'wobble' base-pairing, i.e. permitting non-standard base-pairing at the 3rd anti-codon position. The record is from RNAcentral. RNAcentral also lists the same sequence under 2 other names. Lineage: Bacteria; Bacillati; Bacillota; Clostridia; Thermoanaerobacterales; Thermoanaerobacteraceae.
GCGGGUGUGGCGGAACUGGCAGACGCGCUGGACUUAGGAUCCAGUGGGCAACCGUGGGGGUUCAAGUCCCUCCACCCGCACCA